This 253-nucleotide ribosomal RNA is filed under the name uncultured bacterium. Its description in RNAcentral is "partial 16S ribosomal RNA". It matches the Rfam family "Bacterial small subunit ribosomal RNA", at positions 524 to 776 of the family's 1533-position model. The record is from RNAcentral.
UACAGAGGUCCCGAGCGUUGUUCGGAUUCACUGGGCGUAAAGGGUGCGUAGGUGGUGAGGUAAGUCGGAUGUGAAAUCUCCGGGCUCAACCCGGAAAUGGCAUUGGAAACUACCUUGCUGGAGGAUUUGAGGGGGGAUUGGAAUACUUGGUGUAGCGGUGGAAUGCGCAGAUAUCAGGAGGAACACCGAUGGCGAAGGCAGGUCACUGGGCCGCAACUGACGCUGAGGAGCGAAAGCAUGGGGAGCGAACAGG